Molecule: unclassified non-coding RNA, 374 nt
Filed under: soil metagenome
Description: partial contains internal transcribed spacer 2 and large subunit ribosomal RNA
Rfam family: 5.8S ribosomal RNA (bases 1-120)
Source: RNAcentral
GAUGAAGAACGUAGCGAAAUGCGAUAAUUAAUGUGAAUUGCAGAAUUCCAUGAAUCAUUGAGUCUUUGAACGCACAUUGCGCCUCAUGGCAUUCCGUGAGGCAUGCCCAUCUCAGCGUUAGAAAAUAUUCUCAAAUUUUAGUUUUGUGCUAAAAUUUGGAUCAUGUCAAAGAAGCUAUUACUAUUAUUGUGAUCGCUCUUUGGAAAUUGAUAGGUCUUUGAGUUGCUACUCAUAGAACGUGAUGAAUCUUUCUUCGUUCUAUUGUAAUUCACUCUGGUAGUCCUAAAACUUGUAUGCCUGUGGCAUAUCUUGUAAUUUGACCUGAGAUUGGGUAGGGAUACCCGCUGAACUUAAGCAUAUCAAUAAGCGGAGGA